GAGGGUAUAGCUCAGUGGUAGAGUGCAUGCCUAGCACCCACAAGGUGCUGGGUUCAAUUUCCAGUAUCUCUG
RNAcentral lists this transfer RNA (72 nucleotides) under Camelus bactrianus (Bactrian camel). It matches the Rfam family "tRNA". Rfam says of the family: Transfer RNA (tRNA) molecules are approximately 80 nucleotides in length. Lineage: Eukaryota; Metazoa; Chordata; Mammalia; Artiodactyla; Camelidae. RNAcentral also lists the same sequence under 2 other names. The record is from Rfam by way of RNAcentral.